UAAUCGGCCCAAGGUUUGCCCAAAAACAAUUUGUGGGCUUUGAUUUAGCUUGGCCCAAUGAAGAUUUUUGGUCCAAUGGUGCUUAAGAGGGGUUUUCGGUUCAAGGGGCCCAAAAAUGAGGGUUCUUGGCCCAACUAAAGCCCAAGUAUAGGUUUCCGGCCCAUAUAAAGGAUAACUAGAAGCUUUCGUCCCACAAAGGCCCAAUAGAGGAGUUUUCAGCCCAAUAUAAUGUCUAAUGGAAGUUUUCGAUCCAUUAGGGCCCAAAGAGGGGUUUUCGGCCCAAAAUGACAAAAAGUAGAAGUUAUCAGCCCAAUAGGGCCUAAUAAGGAAGUCUUGGUCCAAUAAGGGAUUUAGACCGACAAUUCAUGGGCUGAGGCCCCAAAAUGAUUUGAUUUGGUUUAUUGGAUCGAUUUUUGAGUUAAUACGUGGUUGUUUCGACUUGAAUGACAAUGUACGAAAGUAUGAACUUAAUAACAUUGAAGUUUGAAUUUCACUAAAUGAAGUGUUGAAAGAUUACACAAAGAGAUUAUCUUGUAUAAGGAUCGACAUCUUAACCCUGAUUUGCUAGUUGUGACAUAGGUGCUUGCCUACCCCUUCGGUCUAUUUCAACCAGAUCUUGUCAAGCAUAUCUGGGUGCUCGCCUACCCCUUCGGUCUAUUUUAACCGGAUACUAUCAAGCAUAUCUGGGUACUUGCAAUCCCUUUUAGUUUAUAUCAACCGGGUACCGGUUCUAUUUCACUCCUUACUACUACCACAUAAUAUCAUAACAAAAAUCAUAGAGCCAUCAAGAAAAUACAUACAUAACUAACAAGUAUCAAAAAGAUAAUCAUCACACUACAUCAUAAACUAGUGGGCCGGCCUUGGUGCCUUCGACCCACAGAUAUUGCGAAUGAAGACUCACCUCAGACUGUGGGUAUCAAAUCCCACUCAGCGGAUGGCUCACGAACUCCUCUCCAUAUCGCACAAGCAUAAAACCCUAAUUAGAAAAUAGGUCACCUUCUAACCCGAAAGUCCAAAACCCUAAUUCUUGACUUAAGGCAAAAAGGGCUUUUGUUAAUUUUUCAUCAUUGGGCCUCCCUCCUCCCACGGCCCAAAUCCAAUCAAAGUCCAAAAAGGGCAUCCAAGCUUAACUAUAAAGCCUCUAAGGCCCAAUAUGGCCUAAGAACCUCNACGUGGUUGUUUCGACUUGAAUGACAAUGUACGAAAGUAUGAACUUAAUAACAUUGAAGUUUGAAUUUCACUAAAUGAAGUGUUGCAAGAUUACACAAAGAGAUUAUCUUGUAUAAGGAUCGACAUCUUAACCCUAAUUUGCUAGUUGUGACAUAGGUGCUUGCUUACCCCUUCGGUCUAUUUCAACCAGAUCUUGUCAAGCAUAUCUGGGUGCUCGCCUACCCCUUCAGUCUAUUUUAACCGGAUACUAUCAAGCAUAUCUGGGUACUUGCAAUCCCUUUUAGUUUAUAUCAACCGGGUACCGGUUCUAUUUCACUCCUUACUACUACCACAUAAUAUCAUAACAAAAAUCAUAGAGUCAUCAAGAAAAUACAUACAUAACUAACAAGUAUCAAAAAGAUAAUCAUCACACUACAUCAUAAACUAGUGGGCCGGGCUUGGUGCCUUCGACCCACAGAUAUUGCGAAUGAAGACUCACCUCAGACUGUGGGUAUCAAAUCCCACUCAGCGGAUGGCUCACGAACUCCUCUCCAUAUCGCACAAGCAUAAAACCCUAAUUAGAAAAUAGGUCACCUUCUAACCCGAAAGUCCAAAACCCUAAUUCUUGACUUAAGGCAAAAAGGGCUUUUGUUAAU
RNAcentral lists this long non-coding RNA (1805 nucleotides) under Lactuca sativa (garden lettuce). Its description in RNAcentral is "long non-coding RNA (LSAT_LNC001436)". The record is from RNAcentral. Lineage: Eukaryota; Viridiplantae; Streptophyta; Magnoliopsida; Asterales; Asteraceae.